UUGACUCAUCAUCAGUGUUGACCAUGAACACUUACAGAGUUUCCAAAGCCAUUAGCUGAAAAGCUUUCCCCCCAAAUGGUGCCAAUUUCUUACCCUAUUCACCAAGAGAAAAGCCAGUAUGAGCUUGCUUCACUUGGGCUGAAGACGAUACCAGAUGCAUCUUUCAAUUUGGGAAUGCAGCCAGAAGUUACACCUCUUUGGAUGUAGGAAGUUGACUUAAGACAUCGACCUUCUGGUUAAGAAGGAAUUCCCGCCAGUUCAACGCAGGGUUCAACGCAAGCAGCAUGGAAAACCGGACCAUGAAACGUUUGAACUACUUUGGGAGGACUCUGAUGCAGGAUAGCAAGACCCGAACACUGAAAAAUGACACACCAGGGCUCGGGGUAUCUGAAGAUGGACAGAAAUGGAGAACUAGCCUUGAAUCAUGCGUUGGAGAAUGGUAGAUUUCAAUCAACGUGUCACUUCUACCCAAAUCCAUCUCCAGAAUCGACAGGAUCCCAGUCAAAA
This is a long non-coding RNA of Mustela lutreola (European mink), 507 nucleotides long. RefSeq lists it as uncharacterized. The transcript has 4 exons. NCBI's taxonomy places the organism in Eukaryota, Metazoa, Chordata, Mammalia, Carnivora, Mustelidae. The record is from RefSeq and is a predicted model, not a curated record.